Long non-coding RNA from Neofelis nebulosa (Clouded leopard), 3711 nucleotides. RefSeq lists it as uncharacterized. The transcript has 3 exons. The record is from RefSeq and is a predicted model, not a curated record. Lineage: Eukaryota; Metazoa; Chordata; Mammalia; Carnivora; Felidae.
UGUUGCAGAAUAUUAGGAAGUGGACAUGUUCACAUUCUCAAAUAUGAGAUAAAAGUUGGAAUCUAGGGGCUCCUGGGUUGGAAUCUAGGGGCUCAGUUGGUUAAGAGUCUGACUGCCGCUCAGAUCAAGAACUCACUGCUUGGGAGUUCGAGCCCCGUGUCAGGCUCGGCUGGCAGCUCGGAGUCUGGAGCCUGCUAAAGAUUUCUGCGUCUCCCUCUCACUCUGCCCCUGCCCUGCUGGUUCCGUCUCUCUCUCUCUCAAAAAUAAAUAAUCAUUAAAAAAAAUUGGAAUCUAAGUCAUUACUUUCAGCUGAUUUACUUAAGCAAAAGAGUUCACCGGAGUCUGUCCUACUUCAGAGCAUUGAAGCAAUAUAACCUGAGCUCGAAGUUUCAUUUCAGUCAAUUUAAAUUCUUUGUGACCUGUGGAAGACCACUGAGAGUUUAAUCAGUGCUUAGCAAACGCCUACACAUUUUCUAAGGUGCCUUAGUGGAUGUAAAGGUGAAUAAGAUAGUUUUCCCUCAAGGACUUGUAGCAAAGAAGAAGAUAAUGUAUACCAUAUUCUGUUGCUGUGUGUUACUUGUGUCUACUCUUUAAAAAAAGGUUUUUUUAUGUUUAUUUAUUUAUUUUGAGAGAGAGACAGAGUGACUAGGGGAGGGGCAGAGAGAGAGGAGAGAGAGAGAGAGAGAGAGAGAGAGAGAGAGAGAACCCCAGGUGGCCUCCGCACUGCCAGCACAGAACCCAGUGUGGGGUUGAACUCACAAAACCAUGAGAUAAAGACCUGAGCUAAAAUCAAGAGUCAGAUGCUUAAUUGACUGAGCCACCCAGGCACCCCUAUUUGUGUCCACUGUUUAAGGCAUUUCAAACGAAGAUUCUGUGGGGAUCAAAGUAGAGACAGAGAGAGAGACCUCUCAUUCAAUUGUCGUAAAUGAUCGCAGGAUUUAAUGAAGAGGGUCACCUGGAUGGCCCAGUAGAGCAUCUGACUCUUGAUUGCAGUGUUGUGAGUUCAAGCCCCAUGUUGGGUAUGGAGCCUACUUAAAAAAAAAUGUUUUUUAAAUGAAGAGAUGACAUUGAGUUGAAUCUUGAAUAAAAAUGAAGGAUUUUGGUAGGUGGCAGUGGGAAAAGGUACCAUUGCAAACAGUGGGGAGGACUUGAGCACACGGUAGUAGAACACUGUUGGAGCUGCUGUUAGGUUCUUUUGCUGUUAUGGCUCUUCUCAGCCUUAAUAAUAUGCAAUAAUUAUUUUGUCUUUGAUAAGAACUUUUAGAAAUUGAUUAUGUGUUUCUCUUUUACUCUAUAAUAGACUUGAAUUUUACUCGGGCUCUUCAAAAAAAUUUUUUUUUGAUGUUUAUUUAUUUUUGACAGAGAGAGACAGAGCAUGAGCAGGGGAGGGGAGAGAGAGAGGGAGGCACAGAAUCUGAAAGCAGGCUCCAGGCUCUGAGCAGUCAGCACAGAGCCCUACGCGGGGCUCGACCUCACGGACCGCGAGAUCAUGACCUGAGCUGAAGUCAGGUGCUGAACCGACUGAGCCACCCAGGCGCCCCUAGGGCUCUUUAAUAAUGGGGUGCUAGACAAACUAAACAAUGAGUUCAUCUAACGUAAAGCCUAAUACUCCCUCUUUUCUCCUAAGUAUGAUCUUUAGCAGAUUAAGUUGGACUCAGUAGGGAAUGUUUACAGGAGACUUGUAUCCAGUUUGGUUGUAGUGAAGGAUAUGUAUUGGGCAAUAGUAGAAUAUAGAAGUAGGUUGAGGGUAUAUAAAUGGAAGGUAGGAAAGCAGAAAAAUAGUAUUUUUUGAGUUGCCUUCUAUGUUCUCUCUUUGUUCUUUAAGCAGUUAGGUCAUUAUAAAAAGGUAUAUACAGUGUGUAAUAUAUAUAUUAUAUAUAUUAUACGUAUAUAUAAUAUAUACAUUUAAAGUUUAUUUGUUUAUUUUGAGAGAGAUUGAGUGGGGGAGAGGCAGAGAAAGCCGGGGACAGAGCAUCUGAAGCAGGCUCCAUGCUGACAGCAGAGAGCCCGAUGUGGGGCUUGAACUCAUGAACUGCGAGGUCAUGAGCUGAGCCAAAGUUGGACACUUAACCAACUGAACCACCCAGGCACUCUCAAAAAGGUAUAUUUAUUUCAGAUAUACCCCACAUGGUUUAAUAACUUAUAAAAACGUUUGUAGUUAAAACUUUUAUAAAUAAAAUCCUAUUUUAAAUCUACAGAAAAGUUAGCUGAAAGGGAUCUUCGUAAAGGUUUUUGGAAAGAAAAUAAUUCUCUGCUAAUUUAUUGGCAUUGAUACUAGAAUUUGGCCUGCUAAAAAUCUUUAAGGGGUGCAGCAUUACACUUAUUCUUUCAUUAUUUGGGAUUUUCUUUUCUCUUUUUAACUUAAAAUGAGUCAUGGUAUUGUAUUGGGGAUUUUGAAAAAUGUGGAAUGUCUGUAGAAGUAAUUUAAUGCCAUUAUAUACCCUUUAAGUUUUACAAAAAGCAAAGCACUGUUGAGUAGUAUUGGAAUCCAGUAGCCAGAGUUUAGAGGUUUUGAUCUUUGAGCAUGAUCUACUUGUACUGCCUUCUUAAGUUCUAGAUAGACCAUGUGUGAGAAGUUCCAUAUUUUACUUUCUCUUUUUUUGUCAAUAAAAUCUUUAGCAGAUUAAAUUGAACUCUUUCUUCUUAGAGCAAAGAAGGGUGGAGGGGAGACAUUCGUUAGCUCAGAGAGGUAGCUCUUCUUAGCACCUAGGUUCUAUUACGUUUUAUAGGACCCUCUUGGAGCUCUGUUAGGUUAUUAAGUGUUCUUACACAAAGUGUUGGAGAAAAUGCCAUUGAACCAUGGUUCACUGACUUUUGGGACAGACAGACUUGGUGUAGGUUGAUACUGGUUUUUUGAUUUUUGUUUGUUUUUGAUACUGUUUUUCCCCUGUAUAACUGGCUUUGUCUAAAACACUUAAACUGAGGCUUAUAUAAGAUGAAUAGGUGACGCAUGGUAGGUUUUCACUAAGUAGUAGCAGUUCUGCAGUAAUUGUUACCUUUUUUUAAUGUUUUUUUAAUUUUUUUUUUAAUUUUUGAGAGAGGGUAUGAGCAGGGGAGGUGCAGAGAGAGGGAGACAGAGGAUUGGAAGUGGCUCCUUGCUGACAGCAGAGAGCCCAGUGCAGGGGCUCAAACUCACGAACCCAUGAGAUCAUGACUUGAGCCAAAGUCAGAAGCUCAACCAACUGAGCCAUCAAGGCACCCCUGAUUAGUUUUGAUAUGAGCCUUUGGAAACUGAUUAGUGUUUUCUCUUUUGCCCUGUGAUACAGUAGAGCCUUGAACAGCAUGGAUUUGAACUGUGUGGGUCCACUUAGACACAGGGUUUUGUUUUGUUUUGUUUUAUAAAUAUAGUACAGUGCUGUAAAUAUAUUUUCCCUUCCUUAUGAUUUUCUUUAUAACAUUUUAUUUUUUAUAGUUUCCUUUAUUGUAGGGAUGCAGUAUAUAAUACAUAUAUAACAUAAAAUAUGUGUUAAUUGUUUAUGUUAUGGGUAAGGCUUCUAGUCAAAAGUGAGCUAUUAGUAGUUAAGUGUUUGGGAGUCAAAAGUUACACUCAGAUUUUCUACUGUGUGAGGUGGGGAUUGUUGGCAUGCCUGACCUCCAUGUUCUUUAAGGGUCAGUGUAGAUUUGAAUGUUACCAGACUUACUUAUUUACUGAUUUAUUUAGAGAGCAUGUGUGCACCAGUGGGGGAGGGGCAGAAAGAGAGGGAGAGAGAA